UACAGAGACUGCAAGCGUUGUUCGGAUUCAUUGGGCGUAAAGGGUGCGCAGGCGGUCCGGUAAGUUGGAUGUAAAAUACCAUGGCUUAACCAUGGAAGGUCAUUCAAAACUGCCGGGCUAGAGGACUGGAGAGGAGACUGGAAUAGUCGGUGUAGCGGUGAAAUGCGUAGAGAUCGACUAGAACACCGAUAGCGAAGGCAGCUUACUGGGCUGUAACUGACGCUGAUGCACGAAAGUGUGGGGAUCAAACAGG
RNAcentral lists this ribosomal RNA (253 nucleotides) under uncultured prokaryote. RNAcentral describes it as "partial 16S ribosomal RNA". It matches the Rfam family "Bacterial small subunit ribosomal RNA", at positions 524 to 776 of the family's 1533-position model. The record is from RNAcentral.